GACGAACGCUGGCGGCGUGCUUAACACAUGCAAGUCGAACGGAAAGGCCCUGCUUUUGUGGGGUGCUCGAGUGGCGAACGGGUGAGUAACACGUGAGUAACCUGCCCUUGACUUUGGGAUAACUUCAGGAAACUGGGGCUAAUACCGGAUAUGAGCUCCUGCUGCAUGGUGGGGGUUGGAAAGUUUCGGCGGUUGGGGAUGGACUCGCGGCUUAUCAGCUUGUUGGUGGGGUAGUGGCUUACCAAGGCUUUGACGGGUAGCCGGCCUGGGAGGGUGACCGGCCACAUUGGGACUGAGAGACGGCCCAGACGCCUACGGGAGGCAGCAGUGGGGAAUAUUGCACAAUGGGCGGAAGCCUGAUGCAGCAACGCCGCGUGCGGGAUGACGGCCUUCGGGUUGUAAACCGCUUUCGCCUGUGACGAAGCGUGAGUGACGGUAAUGGGUAAAGAAGCACCGGCUAACUACGU
RNAcentral lists this ribosomal RNA (467 nucleotides) under uncultured bacterium. RNAcentral's name for it is "partial 16S ribosomal RNA". It matches the Rfam family "Bacterial small subunit ribosomal RNA", at positions 28 to 506 of the family's 1533-position model. The record is from RNAcentral.